This 491-nucleotide ribosomal RNA is filed under the name uncultured bacterium. RNAcentral's name for it is "partial 16S ribosomal RNA". It matches the Rfam family "Bacterial small subunit ribosomal RNA", at positions 29 to 506 of the family's 1533-position model. The record is from RNAcentral.
AGUGAACGCUGGCGGUAGGCCUAACACAUGCAAGUCGAACGGCAGCACAGUAAGAGCUUGCUCUUACGGGUGGCGAGUGGCGGACGGGUGAGGAAUACAUCGGAAUCUACUUUUUCGUGGGGGAUAACGUAGGGAAACUUACGCUAAUACCGCAUACGACCUACGGGUGAAAGCAGGGGAUCUUCGGACCUUGCGCGAUUGAAUGAGCCGAUGUCGGAUUAGCUAGUUGGCGGGGUAAAGGCCCACCAAGGCGACGAUCCGUAGCUGGUCUGAGAGGAUGAUCAGCCACACUGGAACUGAGACACGGUCCAGACUCCUACGGGAGGCAGCAGUGGGGAAUAUUGGACAAUGGGCGCAAGCCUGAUCCAGCCAUACCGCGUGGGUGAAGAAGGCCUUCGGGUUGUAAAGCCCUUUUGUUGGGAAAGAAAAGCAGCAGGUUAAUACCCCGCUGUUCUGGCGGUACCCAAAGAAUAAACACCGGCUAACUUCGU